This 258-nucleotide ribosomal RNA is filed under the name uncultured bacterium. RNAcentral describes it as "partial 16S ribosomal RNA". It matches the Rfam family "Bacterial small subunit ribosomal RNA", at positions 793 to 1050 of the family's 1533-position model. The record is from RNAcentral.
GUCCACACCGUAAACGCUGUCUACUAGCUGUUUGUGAAUUUAAUUCGUGAGUAGCGAAGCUAACGCGCUAAGUAGACCGCCUGGGGAGUACGGCCGCAAGGUUAAAACUCAAAUGAAUUGACGGGGGCCCGCACAAGCGGUGGAGCAUGUGGUUUAAUUCGAUGCAACGCGAAGAACCUUACCUACACUUGACAUGCAGAGAACUUUCCAGAGAUGGAUUGGUGCCUUCGGGAACUCUGACACAGGUGCUGCAUGGCU